ACUGCUCAGUAACACGUGGACAACCUGCCCUUAGGUUGGGUAUAAACCCGGGAAACUGGGUAUAAUACCCGAUAGGUCUCGAUUGCUGGAAUGCAUCGAGAUUUAAAGCUCCGGCGCCUAAGGAUGGGUCUGCGGCCUAUCAGGUAGUAGUGGGUGUAGCGUACCUACUAGCCUACGACGGGUACGGGUUGUGAGAGCAAGAGCCCGGAGAUGGAUUCUGAGACACGAAUCCAGGCCCUACGGGGUGCAGCAGGCGCGAAAACUUUACAAUGCUGGCAACAGCGAUAAGGGAACCUCGAGUGCCAGGUUACAAAUCUGGCUGUCGAGAUGCCUAAAAAGCAUUUCAUAGCAAGGGCCGGGCAAGACCGGUGCCAGCCGCCGCGGUAACACCGGCGGCUCGAGUGGUAACCGUUAUUAUUGGGUCUAAAGGGUCUGUAGCCGGCCGGAUAAGUCUCUUGAGAAAUCUGGCAGCUUAACUGUCAGGCUUUCAGGAGAUACUGUCUGGCUCGAGGCCGGGAGAGGUGAGAGGUACUUCAGGGCUAGGGGUGAAAUCUUGUAAUCCUUGAAGGACCACCAGUGGCGAAGGCGUCUCACCAGAACGGACCUGACGGCAAGGGACGAAAGCUAGGGGCACGAACCGGAUUAGAUACCCGGGUAGUCCUAGCCGUAAACGAUACUCGCUAGGUGUCGGCCACGGUGCGACCGUUGUCGGUGCCGUAGGGAAGCCGUGAAGCGAGCCACCUGGGAAGUACGGCCGCAAGGCUGAAACUUAAAGGAAUUGGCGGGGGAGCAC
RNAcentral lists this ribosomal RNA (793 nucleotides) under uncultured archaeon. Its description in RNAcentral is "bacterial SSU rRNA". It matches the Rfam family "Archaeal small subunit ribosomal RNA", at positions 85 to 879 of the family's 1478-position model. The record is from RNAcentral.